AUUGAACGCUGGCGGCAUGCCUUACACAUGCAAGUCGAACGGUAACGGGCCUUCGGGUGCCGACGAGUGGCGAACGGGUGAGUAAUGUAUCGGAACGUACCUUUCAGUGGGGGAUAACGUAGCGAAAGUUACGCUAAUACCGCAUAUUCUGUGAGCAGGAAGGCAGGGGAUCGCAAGACCUUGCGCUGAUUGAGCGGCCGAUAUCAGAUUAGCUAGUUGGUGAGGUAAAGGCUCACCAAGGCGACGAUCUGUAGCGGGUCUGAGAGGAUGAUCCGCCACACUGGAACUGAGACACGGUCCAGACUCCUACGGGAGGCAGCAGUGGGGAAUUUUGGACAAAUGGGGGGCAACCCUGAUCCAGCCAUGCCGCGUGAGUGAAGAAGGCCUCGG
Molecule: ribosomal RNA, 390 nt
Filed under: uncultured bacterium
Lineage: Bacteria
Description: bacterial SSU rRNA
Rfam family: Bacterial small subunit ribosomal RNA
Source: RNAcentral